Molecule: long non-coding RNA, 5283 nt
Filed under: Homo sapiens (human)
Lineage: Eukaryota; Metazoa; Chordata; Mammalia; Primates; Hominidae
Description: non-protein coding OIP5-AS1:22
Source: RNAcentral
CACAGGAAGAAAAUUUUCCUUGACCUUUAGGUGCUUUUAUAUUCAUCUCAAAAACAAAAUUCUGAACUCAGGACUUGGCAAGUGUCUCUAUGUUGUCUCCUAGAGUGGGUAGUCCUGCUUCUUUUACCCAGUUACUUUCCCGUUUUUGAAAUGUGGCUAUCACUUCUCUACACAUUACCUCCAUGAUUUGGAAUGGAAAAGGCCACUUUUCUUUUUGUUCUGCCUCUCAAAUUCAACACAGAGGAGCUCCUAGGAUUCCAGUUAUCCUGCUAACAUCUCCAGGAAGAAAGAAGCAACUCACAUGGGUCUUUUGCUGUUUGCUUAAUUAUAAAGACAUCAUUUUGCAAGCAGAAGGCUGAGUUUCAUUUGAAACAGGUGCUUAGGUGGUGGUAUUUGUGAAUACUUUUCAUUCCAAGCAAGAAGACUAAAGAAGUAGCAAGUAUGAAUGACUUCAGGGUUUAAAAAAAAUGUCUUCCAGUUUCAGCCACUACCAUGAUAAGCACAGUUGAGACUGCAGCAGUAAAUUCCAAAUAUGUGUUUCUAAUUUGACGUGAAAGAUACUAAAAAUUUAUAUUUGUAUAUUUAAAUCCUGGCUCAUCCUGUGACAUAGAUUUACUGAAUAGGAACAAAGGCCCAAUUUUAAACAAAAACCUAGGCCGGGUGUGGUGGCUCACACCUGUAAUCCCAACACUUUGGGAGGCCAAGGCAGGCAAAUCACCUGAGGUUGGGAGUUUGAGACCAGCCUGACCAACAUGGAGAAACCCCAUCUCUACUAAAAAUAGAAAAUUAGCCAGGUGUGGUGGUAGAUACGUGUAAUCCCAGCUACUCGUGAGGCUGAGGCAGGAGAAUUGCUUGAAUCCGGGAGGCGGAGGUUGCAGUGAACUGAGAUUGCACCACUGCACUCCAGCCUGGGCGACAGAGUGAGACUCCGUCUCAGAAAAAUAAAAAACAACUUUGGACAUAGAGGAGUUGGGGGCAGAGGGGGGAGGAUGAGAGAAUUUUCCAUGUAACUCCUUUUCCUUAAGAAAAAGAAGCAAAAAUCCCUCAUGCAGUGCCAUCUGACUUUAUGGUGUUUCACAUUAUAUAGUUACUUUUUUUAAUAAACGCAUAAGAUUAACUCUUCCUGCAACCCAAGGUGGAUACUUGGAUGUUUGAUUUUUAUUUAUUUAUUUAUUUAUUUUUUGAGGCAGUCUCUCUCUGUUGCCCAGGCUGGAGUGAUGCGUGAUUUCUGCUCACUGCAGUCUCUCCCACCCGGGUUCAAGCGAUUCUCCUGCCUCAGCCUCCCAAGUAGCUAGGAUUACAGGCGCGCACCACCACGCUCAGCCUGAUUUCUAGGCUGAAAAGGCUGGGACUCAGGUACUUUCCCCAGUUGGGACUGAACUUUCUCAUCAGAGAAUGGGCCUCAGAAGCAAUGUUCCCAAACUUGUGGUUGGGUCAUCGUGGAAAAGAAACCUCAAAUAAGAAAAAUAAUUACAAUAAGAAAUGGAUUUUCUUUUUUCCCACAACAGUUAUACAUUAUAAAGAACAGACUGUCGUAGAAAACUGUCUUUGCUUCCAAAUCAGCAGAGGACCAUUGUAUGUAUUGUCAGGUCUUUAUAUAAGAGUGAAACCUUUAUUUAUGCUUCUUGUGAGUAGAGAAUAAAUUUUAAAACUAAUUAGAUGAAAUUAAGAACAGAGUAUUGGAACAUCUCUGUGUUUUCCGGAAUGUUUACUCAGGUCCAUGAAUGCUGUGAUGCUGGGAACUUAGGGAAGAUUCACCAAAAUUUGAGAGUGAUAAAAAUGGCCUAAAAUGGGAAAUGGUGAGCACUCUUAUUAUUAGUGAGAUUGGUCAAUCAGCCCAUUUGAAAUGGGUAAAAAAUACUUUCAGUAAAAUAAUUACAUAUUAUAUAUAAAAUAUUUCUUUUUUUGAGGGCAGCUACUGAGUGAUAAAAGCAUAGUAGAAAUCACUUUGGUUAAAAGUAACUCAAAUUUUUCUCUUAAGUAAUCUACCAACUUCCUGAUGUUUUUCUUUAAUAUUUUGGAACUGUUCAAGACAGAAUGGAGCCUACAUAUAUGGUGUUCCACUAGUAUGUUGAAAAUGUCAUAUCAUGGAGAAUGGAGACACCUUCCAGGUGUCUGUUAAACCCAUCUUCUCUGUGUACUUCUGGCAUCUUUUUUGGUAGGAUCAUUUGGCAGGGGGUAGAGUACCUGUACUUUUGGCACCAUUGAAACCAGCUCUGGCCCACUUGUUUGAAUAGCUAUCAGACUCAGCGUCUCUAUAUGCUUUAUAUACAGUUGAGAGAACCAGUGUUUAAUGCUCUUGAAAUUGUAUCUUCCAUGCUUCAGACCAGAUGCAUUUAACAAAAUGGAUAUAUUCCAGCUGUAGUUGCCCAGUGUUUACUUAACACAUCUACAUUUUUUUCUUGUCUAUUUUGGUCCCCUUGAUAGGAAAAGCUAUAAUUUUAGGCAGGACUAUACGUCGAUUUGUAGCCAUGCUUCCUUCCUUUCCCUUGCUCAUCCAUGUUAGCUGGCAGUUUUUCUUUUGAAAAGUUAAAACCGGGAUAUGUGCAAUAGAAAUAUAUAUAUAUAUAUGUAUAUUUUAAUACUUGUGGACAAAUGUUACAAGUUGUUUAAGAACAACAAAAUCACCAAUGUCUUCCAUUUUGAGAUGUGUAUAGUUUUGUAAGCAUUAGUGCUUGGUAGCAUAUUGUAGUGCCAUGUUAGGGGUUAGUGCAUGAGUCUAGUGAUUUUAAACUUCAGGAUGAAUUAUUGAUAAUAACAAAUAGUGUAAAAAGAGUGGAAAAUCUAAACCUUUUCUUUUUCCAUAAUGUCUAAAUCUGUUAUAUUCUUCCUGGGGAAAAGAGAUUAAGGCCCAAAAGACUCAUUUAUGAAUAGAAAUGUGGGGUCAAAAUCUGAGAUACUAUAUUUGAGGACAUUUCAGCUUUCCAUAAGGUAUCUGGAAACCAGCUGUCUUUGUGUCUUAUGAAACCUCAAGUCAAAAUGAGACCGCAUUUAAUUAUUCUGCUUUGCUCUUUUUUUGGGGUGGGGGGGAGAUAGAGUUUCACUCUGUCACCCAGGCUGGAGUGCAGUGGCACAAUCUUUGCUCACUGUAACCUCUGCCUCUUGGGUUCAAGUGAUUCUCGUGCCCCAGCCUCCCGAGUAGCUGGGACUACAGGCACGUGCCACCACGCCCAGCUAAUUUUUAUAUUUUUAGUAGAGACGGGGUUUUGCUGUGUUGGCCAGGCUGGUCUCAAACUCCUGACCUCAAGUAAUCCACCUGGCCUGCUCUUUUCAUGUCUUAACAUGGCAUGUCUUUUAGUUUCAUUAUUUUCCUACUCCUUGUAUGUCAAGAAAUUACAUUUUGCAUGUCUUAUGGAGAUGCUGUUAAUUGCUUCAGUGAGUGCUUUUCUAAUCUGCAGACCAUUUACAUUUCCUGUUUGCAGCAUGCUGUGUGCAAACACUCAGUAAUUUGGAGUAUUCAAUUAUUUGUUAGGGCUCUUCCUAUUUCCAAAUGUGCUGAAUUGUCUAUUGAUGGGAUUUUCAGAUCUUUUCAUGAGAACUGGAAAUGUAGCUGGGUGGCACCUACCUAGGUUGCUACGUAGUGAGUAGACUUUCUCUUGGGUAUAGUAAGCCUCAGACAGCUUUCACUUUUAUCUACUUUACUUGUGGAAAUAAAACAGUCAUUUUGUUCUGAAAGAAUAAGAUAGCUUUCUGUAGAGAAGGAAUUCCUACCUCUAAAAGCUGCCUUGAGAACUCAGAACUGGCAGUUUUCUGAGGUGAUUUUUAAAUUUCAGUAUUAGGGAGAGUCCAGCAUUUGCUGACACAGAUUCUACAUAACUAAUGUAUGAUAGCAAAUGCAAAACUAUUAUAAUGUGGUGUAUCUUGCGCAUACACAGGUUAGAACAAGUAGACUCUGGCAGCAGAUCUCCAGAGACCCAAGUUUAGGUUCUCAUAGUGUAUUUGAAGUAGUUAUACUCCUGGCUUAAGUAGUUUAGUGCCUGGGAGAAUCCAUUACUGAAAAGCAUUUAACUUAAAAAAAAAAAAAAAAAAAAAAAAAAAAACUGAAAAGGUAGUGAAUACAGAAUAGCACAAUAUAUAGGAAAGGAUAUUUCCUGUUGAAAAAAAAAGCCAUAAAAUUAAUAGUAAUUUUCAAGAGGUAGAAUUUUAGUAGCAAUAAGUUUGUGCAUGUAUAGUAAUUUGCAUUAGCAAGGUUGUACAAUAGAAUAAGUGAUACUACUGGAGUUUGUGGGCCACUGCACCUGGCCUGUAGUAGCUUAAAAUUUUCCUUGAGAAAAUUCCUGACUUUAAAAAUAACCCUUAUAUAAGUACAAGUGAUUGUGACAAAUGACGUAAAAAUGGCAUUCAUGAUGUCUGAAACAAGCCUAAAUAGAAUUCAAGAUUAGACUAAAUGAUUUUCACAAAGCACAUUCAAGGUUUUACAUUCUAUGAUUGAAAAAAAUUUUUUGAAAACUUUUUAUUUCAUUCUUUCCUGUAGGAUUUUGCUACAAAUAACUUUGGGAAUGAAUAAAGUGGAAUGGUAACUUUCCAGUGGUUCAGAAUUGAAUUAGACUUCUUGUGACUGUGAUGUUUGGUUUCCAUUGAAAUAUAUGAAGUGAGAUGUCAUAUCCUGAAUAUAGUUUGUCUUCCCCAAUUACUUGAUAGCAUGUCUGUCAGCCAGUAAAGAUUAAGAACAGAGUUUCUCUAAAUUCCUCCGAUUAUUCCACUAAGGCACAUUAAAAUACUUAAUUUUGGGAAACCAGACAUCACAGAUUUCUCCAUGAAGUCCUAAAUCUUCUUUAAAGUCAGAAUAGGUAUCUUAGUUACUGACAGUAUUCAGGUUUUUUUCUCCCUUGGUGAUAUGUCAUUCCAUCAGUGAAAAAAUAUUUUCUCCCAGGGAUAAGAAAGGUAUUCUGGUAAUACAUUAUCAUCAAUCCUUAAACAGUAACAGUCUUGGCACUUAUCACAAAACCGACCCAUUUCUUAUAACCAGAAAGAUUAUCUUAGACUGUCCUUCACAUUAUACUUUACCUACUGCCUUGUAAGAAUAAGAGUUGCUCACUGUGUUUACUUGCUGUCCUCCAUAUUCUCCAUUGCACCAUUGGUGUAUAACGUUAAGAGUUUCAUUGAAUAUUAUUUUAAGUAUUACAAAAGGCAGCUUGCUUCUUAAUCUAUGCAUCUUUGGGGUUUUUGAAGAAAUUUAAUUCUUUGAUGUAAAAAGGAACUGUUAAAAAAGUUGGAAGCUCUGCACCUGUGUAUAUAUAUAUUUUAGCAAUAAAGCAGCAUGGGCUGAGAAUGCACUGAAAU